CAGUGCAAUCCGUUGCACUAUCGUUAACUGAAUACAUAGGUUAACGAGGCGAACCGGGGGAACUGAAACAUCUAAGUACCCCGAGGAAAAGAAAUCAACCGAGAUUCCCCCAGUAGCGGCGAGCGAACGGGGAGCAGCCCAGAGUCUGAAUCAGCUUGUGUGUUAGUGGAAGCGUCUGGAAAGUCGCACGGUACAGGGUGAAAGUCCCGUACACGAAAAUGCACAGGCUGUGAACUCGAAGAGUAGGGCGGGACACGUGGUAUCCUGUCUGAAUAUGGGGGGACCAUCCUCCAAGGCUAAAUACUCCUGACUGACCGAUAGUGAACCAGUACCGUGAGGGAAAGGCGAAAAGAACCCCGGCGAGGGGAGUGAAAAAGAACCUGAAACCGUGUACGUA
RNAcentral lists this ribosomal RNA (397 nucleotides) under Enterobacter cloacae. RNAcentral describes it as "partial 23S ribosomal RNA". It matches the Rfam family "Bacterial large subunit ribosomal RNA", at positions 129 to 566 of the family's 2925-position model. The record is from RNAcentral. Lineage: Bacteria; Pseudomonadati; Pseudomonadota; Gammaproteobacteria; Enterobacterales; Enterobacteriaceae.